RNAcentral lists this ribosomal RNA (383 nucleotides) under Quametopia terminalis. RNAcentral's name for it is "partial 16S ribosomal RNA". The record is from RNAcentral. Lineage: Eukaryota; Metazoa; Arthropoda; Insecta; Diptera; Anthomyzidae.
UCGAAGGUAGCAUAAUCAGUAGUCUUUUAAUUGAAGGCUGGUAUGAAUGGUUGGAUGAAAUAUUAACUGUUUCAUUUAAAUUUUUUUUAGAAUUUUAUUUUUUAGUUAAAAAGCUAAAAUGUUGUUAAAAGACGAGAAGACCCUAUAAAUCUUUAUAUUUUAGGUGUAUUAAUUAUAUUGAUUUAUUUAAUUAUUAUAAUUAAAAGUAUUUUAUUGGGGUGAUAUUAAAAUUUAAAAAACUUUUAAUUUAAAAUUUACAUAAAUUAAUGAAUAAAUGAUCCAUUAUUAAUGAUUAAUAAUUUAAGUUACUUUAGGGAUAACAGCGUAAUUUUUUUGGAGAGUUCAUAUUGAUAAAAAAGAUUGCGACCUCGAUGUUGGAUUAA